This 497-nucleotide ribosomal RNA is filed under the name uncultured bacterium. RNAcentral describes it as "partial 16S ribosomal RNA". It matches the Rfam family "Bacterial small subunit ribosomal RNA", at positions 28 to 507 of the family's 1533-position model. The record is from RNAcentral.
GAUGAACGCUGGCGGCGUGCCUAAUACAUGCAAGUCGAGCGAACAGACGAGGAGCUUGCUCCUCUGACGUUAGCGGCGGACGGGUGAGUAACACGUGGAUAACCUACCUAUAAGACUGGGAUAACUUCGGGAAACCGGAGCUAAUACCGGAUAAUAUAUUGAACCGCAUGGUUCAAUAGUGAAAGACGGUUUUGCUGUCACUUAUAGAUGGAUCCGCGCCGCAUUAGCUAGUUGGUAGGGUAACGGCUUACCAAGGCGACGAUGCGUAGCCGACCUGAGAGGGUGAUAGGCCACACUGGAACUGAGACACCGUCCAGACUCCUACGGGAGGCAGCAGUAGGGAAUCUUCCGCAAUGGGCGAAAGCCUGACGGAGCAACGCCGCGUGAGUGAUGACGGUCUUCGGAUCGUAAAACUCUGUUAUUAGGGAAGAACAAAUGUGUAAGUAACUAUGCACGUAUUGACGGUACCUAAUCAGAAAGCCACGGCUAACUACGUG